Molecule: ribosomal RNA, 211 nt
Filed under: uncultured Staphylococcus sp.
Lineage: Bacteria; Bacillati; Bacillota; Bacilli; Caryophanales; Staphylococcaceae
Description: partial 16S ribosomal RNA
Rfam family: Bacterial small subunit ribosomal RNA
Source: RNAcentral
CGGGAAACCGGAGCUAAUACGGAUAAUAUAUUGAACCGCAUGGUUCAAUAGUGAAAGACGGUUUUGCUGUCACUUAUAGAUGGAUCCGCGCUGCAUUAGCUAGUUGGUAAGGUAACGGCUUACCAAGGCAACGAUGCGUAGCCGACCUGAGAGGGUGAUCGGCCACACUGGAACUGAGACACGGUCCAGACUCCUACGGGAGGCAGCAGCC